CAUUCACGGAGAGUUUGAUCCUGGCUCAGGACGAACGCUGGCGGCGUGCUUAACACAUGCAAGUCGAACGAUGAACCUCCUUCGGGAGGGGAUUAGUGGCGAACGGGUGAGUAACACGUGGGCAAUCUGCCCUGCACUCUGGGACAAGCCCUGGAAACGGGGUCUAAUACCGGAUACUGACCCGCUUGGGCAUCCAAGCGGUUCGAAAGCUC
This 212-nucleotide ribosomal RNA is filed under the name Actinospica acidiphila. RNAcentral describes it as "partial 16S ribosomal RNA". It matches the Rfam family "Bacterial small subunit ribosomal RNA", at positions 1 to 209 of the family's 1533-position model. The record is from RNAcentral. Lineage: Bacteria; Bacillati; Actinomycetota; Actinomycetes; Catenulisporales; Actinospicaceae.